UACAGAGGGUGCGAGCGUUAAUCGGAAUUACUGGGCGUAAAGCGCACGUAGUCGGCUUUGCAAGUCGGGUGUGAAAUCCCCGGGCUCAACCUGGGAACUGCAUCCGAGACUGCAUUGCUAGAGUAUGGGAGAGGGAAGCGGAAUUUCUGGUGUAGCAGUGAAAUGCGUAGAUAUCAGAAGGAACAUCAGUGGCGAAGGCGGCUACCUGGAUUGACACUGACACUGAGGCGCGAGAGCGUGGGGAGCAAACAGG
Molecule: ribosomal RNA, 253 nt
Filed under: uncultured bacterium
Lineage: Bacteria
Description: partial 16S ribosomal RNA
Rfam family: Bacterial small subunit ribosomal RNA
Source: RNAcentral